RNAcentral lists this ribosomal RNA (221 nucleotides) under uncultured bacterium. Its description in RNAcentral is "partial 16S ribosomal RNA". It matches the Rfam family "Bacterial small subunit ribosomal RNA", at positions 28 to 238 of the family's 1533-position model. The record is from RNAcentral.
GAUGAACGCUGGCGGCGUGCCUAAUACAUGCAAGUCGAACGCACAGCGAAAGGUGCUUGCACCUUUCAAGUGAGUGGCGAACGGGUGAGUAACACGUGGACAACCUGCCUCAAGGCUGGGGAUAACAUUUGGAAACAGAUGCUAAUACCGAAUAAAACUCAAUGUCGCAUAACACAAAGUUAAAAGGCGCUUUGGCGUCACCUAGAGAUGGAUCCGCGGUG